This 827-nucleotide long non-coding RNA is filed under the name Populus trichocarpa (black cottonwood). RNAcentral describes it as "long non-coding RNA (PTRI_LNC001998)". The record is from RNAcentral. Lineage: Eukaryota; Viridiplantae; Streptophyta; Magnoliopsida; Malpighiales; Salicaceae.
CAGCAAUCUUUCAUUGCCCAUGAUAUACAAAGUCUCCGUUUGACCUGCUAUGAAAUGCUAUUUUGUAAAAAUGGUUUCAGGAUCCCAGUGGGUUGUUGCUGACUAACAAACCUAGAAUGGACGGAGAUGAGGCACAAGGCCAUGACAAGCCAGUUGAUGCAGAAGGAGAUGAUGACAAUGAUGAUGACGAUGAUGAUGAGGAGGAAGGGGGUGAUGGAUUAGGAGAAGGUGAAGAGGAAUUGUCCUCUGAAGAUGGAGGUGACUUGGGCAACAAUCCCAACAAUAACAAGAGUAACUCAAAGAAGGGUCCAGGUGGUGGAGCAGCAGGUGGGGCAGAAGAGAAUGGAGAAGAGGAAGAAGAUGACGACGAAGAAGGCGAAGGUCAAGAUGACGACGACGAUGAUGAAGAUGACGACGACGACGACGAUGACGGUGGAGAAGAGGAUGAAGAAGAAGUUGAGGAGGUAGAGAAUGAGGACGAGGAAGAAGAAGAUGAAGACGAGGAAGCCCUCCAGCCCCCAAAGAAGAGGAAGAAGUGAAGUAGGAGAAUAGUGGAGCCUCCUCAGUUCAGUUAUACUGUUUGUUUCUCAGUGACUUGUUAACUUUGUCGAUCUUCUUAGAUUACGAGGGGGGCUGUUUAGGAUAAUGGUAUUAUGCAUAAUUAUCGUACUUUCCAUGCAUGGUUAGAGUACACUCUAGAACUGUGAGCUGCGGCGGCAAUGAUUAAUUCGAAAAAUGUAAUGAUUAUGAUCUUUAAGCCACAUUUAAUCAGAGUUUCUAUUGUUGCUGAUAUACUGCUGCUACUUGCAAAUGGGUUGGUUUUAUGG